AUUGAACGCUGGCGGCAGGCCUAACACAUGCAAGUCGAGCGGCGCGGCAGACGGGUGCGUGAUGCCUAUGAAUCUGCCUGGUCGUGGGGGAUGGCGUCCGGAAACGGGCGCUAAUGCCGCAUACUAUCAGAUGAGCCUAUGUCGGAUUAGCUAGUUGGUGGGGUAAAGGCCUAGCAAGGCGACGAUCCGUAACUGGUCUGAGAGGAUGAUCAGUCACACUGGAACGGAGACACGGUCCAGACUCCUACGGGAGGCAGCAGUGGGGAAUAUUGGACAAUGGGCGAAAGCCUGAUGCAGCCAUGCCGCGUGUGUGAAGAAGGUCUUCGGAUUGUAAAGCACUUUCAGUUGGGAGGCGUUACCAACAGAAGAAGCACCGGCUAACUCCGUGCCAGCAGCCGCGGUAAUAC
Molecule: ribosomal RNA, 407 nt
Filed under: uncultured bacterium
Lineage: Bacteria
Description: partial 16S ribosomal RNA
Rfam family: Bacterial small subunit ribosomal RNA
Source: RNAcentral